RNAcentral lists this microRNA precursor (120 nucleotides) under Podarcis lilfordi (Lilford's wall lizard). The record is from RNAcentral. Lineage: Eukaryota; Metazoa; Chordata; Lepidosauria; Squamata; Lacertidae.
GAUUCCCCCCCCCCCAAAAAAAAGAAGCUUUGGGGGGCAUGAUCUUGCAUUAUACUCCAAUAUGUGCAUUUUGGGGUAUUGUGCCCGAAAAAGCACUUUUUUUUGGGGGGGGGGGAAUCA